Molecule: small nuclear RNA, 107 nt
Organism: Suncus etruscus (white-toothed pygmy shrew)
Lineage: Eukaryota; Metazoa; Chordata; Mammalia; Eulipotyphla; Soricidae
Source: RefSeq, a predicted model, not a curated record
GUGCUCACUUUGGCAGCACAUGUACUAAAAUUGGAAUCAUAAAGAGAGGAUUAGCAUGGCCCCUGCAUAAGGAUGACAAACAAAUUCAUGUAGCUUUCCAUAUUUUU